GGCGAACGCUGGCGGCGUGCCUAAUACAUGCAAGUUGAGCGCUGAAGGUUGGUACUUGUACCCACUGGAUGAGCAGCGAACGGGUGAGUAACGCGUGGGGAAUCUGCCUUUGAGCGGGGGACAACAUUUGGAAACGAAUGCUAAUACCGCAUAAAAACUUUAAACACAAGUUUUAAGUUUGGAAGAUGCAAUUGCAUCACUCAAAGAUGAUCCCGCGUUGUAUUAGCUAGUUGGUGAGGUAAGGGCUCACCAAGGCGAUGAUACAUAGCCGACCUGAGAGGGUGAUCGGCCACAUUGGGACUGAGACACGGCCCAAACUCCUACGGGAGGCAGCAGUAGGGAAUCUUCGGCAAUGGACGAAAGUCUGACCGAGCAACGCCGCGUGAGUGAAGAAGGUUUUCGGAUCGUAAAACUCUGUUGGUAGAGAAGAACGUUGGUGAGAGUGGAAAGCUCAUCAAGUGACGGUAACUACCCAGAAAGGGACGGCUAACUACGUG
RNAcentral lists this ribosomal RNA (497 nucleotides) under uncultured bacterium. Its description in RNAcentral is "partial 16S ribosomal RNA". It matches the Rfam family "Bacterial small subunit ribosomal RNA", at positions 28 to 507 of the family's 1533-position model. The record is from RNAcentral.